CCCUAGCGAGAGACUUUCUUACCUCUGCGCCGACCGGGGGCUCAUCUCACGAGCAAAGCGUAAUAUUUACUUUAAAUAAAUUUAUUUAUUUCUCUCAGAAUAUAAUUGUACAUAGAUUUUCAUUGUACAUACUGUGUUUUGUACUACGACAAUUGAAUUGAGUUUAUGAUACAUUAUAAAUGUAAUUUAUAUUGCCCAUUGAAAUAAGGAAUACUUUUAUAAAGUAUAAUCGGAACAUUCUUUUUAUUUCUGUGUUACAAAAAGGUGAGAUAUAAAUGUGUAAAAAUGUAAAAGAAAAUGAGGGGACAGCCAAGAUAGUUAAAUAAGAAAAGUUAACCUUGUGAAAAGUACUUAACGAAUAACUCUGAAAGAAGUGAACACAAUAUUCGUUAUUUUAAUUUUGUUUCUUUUAUAGUCCCUGUUCUAAAUACUAUGUGAAAAAACAUUGUUAUAUCAUGUAAAACUUAAAUGUGAUUUACAACAUUUCCUUCAACUAGUGGUUAAAGUAAUUAGUAAAUAAACAAUUCAAUGACUACAAUGGAAGCUAAUAAACAAGUCUUAGAUAAAAAAGAAACUGUGAUUAUACCUAUGAACUUCUCACAUGUCAACAAUUUAACUACAGAUGAGCAUAUAUAUAAUUUAUUUAACAAGCGCUUCCCACUCAUAGAUACUGAGUCUUACUCAUUACCUAAACCAGAAACAUUGUUCACGUGUCCUAUAUGGGAAGUUGAACAACUACAAAAACUAAAGAGAGAGUUGAAUAAUGUAAAGAAUUCGUUAAAUAAUUUUAACCUUAAUGAAUGGCAUUCGCAUACGCAAUAUAGAAACAGUGCAAAAAAUGUUAUGCUAUACUUAAGAAAAAAAAUUCAAGCAGAACUUCUAACUCAGGCAUGGUGUAAGUUCUAUGAAUUAGUAUCAUCUUAUCCUCUAGUACCAGUAACUCAUAUUAAUAAUAAUAAUGGACACUUUAAGUCUGUUCAUUUGUGUGAAGCACCUGGAGCAUUUGUAGCAUCCUUAAAUCAUUGGUUGAAAACAAAUGUAUCUGACAUUCAAUGGGAUUGGAUUGCUACAACAUUAAACCCAUGGUACGAAGGUUAUUCAUCGUCUGAAAUGAUUACCGAUGAUAGAUUCAUAAGGCAUACAUUAAAUCAUUGGUGCUUUGGAGAAGACAAUACUGGGAACCUUAUGAAUUUAAAAAAUUUGAAUAAGCUCUUAAAAACAACAGAACCGCAUGACAAUAUAUACUUGAUUACUGCUGAUGGCAGUACAAGCUGUGUAGAUGACCCUGGAGAACAGGAGAAUAUAGUAGCACAUUUACAUUUCUGCGAAACUGUAGCUGCCCUGCAUCUUUUAUGUACUGGGGGUAGUUUUGUAUUAAAAAUGUUCACUAUUUUUGAAUGUCAUUCAGUAUGUUUAAUUUACUUAAUUUGUUGCUGUUUUAAUAAAGUCAGCAUAGUAAAACCGGUAACAAGUAAAGAAGGAAAUUCAGAGACUUACAUAGUAUGCACAGAUUUUAAGGGGCAACCAGUUGUGAUACCAUAUUUGGAAGAGCUUACAAAAUACUAUGAAUGUCGUCCUAAAAAAGCAAUGUUCAAUUACAGUGAUAUUCCAUCUGCAUUUAUAGAAACAAUUAUAGAGUGUAAUAAGUUUUUCAAUUAUCAUCAACGUCUGGUCAUAAUGAAUAAUAUUGUUACAUUCAAAUCAGAUAAUGAUCAGAUGUUCAAUAAUAUAAAGCGAAUUCAACAUAUAGUUGCCAACAAAUAUAUCACGGAUUAUAACAUAAGAAAAUUGACAUCGGGAGAAAUUGUGGGAAAUACAAAAUUGGAAGCAUACAAUACUGUUAACGUAUGUAAAAGGCUAACACUUGGAUCUUAUAAUGAACGUUGCAAACAACAACAUUUAUCACCAUUGGAUCAAUUAAAAAUUUUGUUUAGUGAUUCCAAUAAAAUAAAAAUUGAUAUCCCUUCUAAUAGAAUUCUACAAUUCAAAUUCAUUGAAUUGCCAAAAGAUUUACAAAUUUCUUCGGGGAAAAUAUUCCAUAGAGUAUAUUCGUCAGGAUUCUGUCGUCAUGGUAUCUUAAAAAUGAAAAACCAUGUUGACGAUAUUCUUAUUAAUAUGGGAUACAAAACACAGUAUCCUUCUGCAAAAACUGUAAGCCAAUUAAAAGAACAAAUUCUUAAUAAACCGGGAUAUAAAGUUUUAGCAUUUCAAUACACAGAUGUUCAUGAUUGUCAUAAAAUAAUUGACAAAAUUUAUGAUACAAUGCAAAACCUUAAUACUGGAGACACUUUAAUAUUAAUUGGUUAUUCAUUGCUUACCCAUCUUAAUGUUGGACUUCUUUAUCUAAUAAGUUGUGCUUUUAAUUCAAUCACUCUAAAAUUUUGUAAUAACAUUGGUUCAAAAAUUACAUUGGAACACUACAAUUAUAAUAUGAAGAUACUAAAGUGCUUAAUUGAUGUUAAAGCUGCUUCUUCUAAUAUUCAAGGAACAGAAAAUGCUAUUUUACAUAUUUUUCCUGCAAUAUUUUUAUAUGACUGUGAUCUGUUCUAUCCAAUAUCGAAUAUUAAUCAUUGGGUUAUAAAAUCAUACAUUCAUUAUGUUUCCACUAUGGUACAAGAAAAUAGUGGAAUUAAAGAGGAAAAGUAAUACAUGAUAUUUCUAUAACAUGUAAACAACUAUUGUUGUACCAAUAUUUUUGGUCGAUGUAAAUUACUGUCAUGAAAGUUGGUAUAAUUAGUAGCUAUAUUCGUCUAUUUUCAACUGAACAUGUACCAAAAGUAUGUAUUGUUGGUGCGGGUCCUGCAGGAUUUUAUGCUGCGCAACAAUUAUUAAAG
This is an RNA transcript of Nomia melanderi (Alkali bee), 2834 nucleotides long. It is a transcript of the gene named NADPH:adrenodoxin oxidoreductase, mitochondrial, with no coding region annotated. The record is from RefSeq and is a predicted model, not a curated record. Lineage: Eukaryota; Metazoa; Arthropoda; Insecta; Hymenoptera; Halictidae.